RNAcentral lists this long non-coding RNA (251 nucleotides) under Brassica rapa (field mustard). RNAcentral describes it as "long non-coding RNA (BRAP_LNC001202)". The record is from RNAcentral. Lineage: Eukaryota; Viridiplantae; Streptophyta; Magnoliopsida; Brassicales; Brassicaceae.
GCGGGUUAGAGUGGAUUGUAGAUCCGUUGUGCAUUGACGUAGUUCGUUAACUCGGACAUGGUAGUGGAGUUGAGCUGUUGCCUUUUUGAUGUUGAGUUGUUGUCUUUUAUUUGAAUAGAACACAUACAUUGCAUUCUGAGAUGGACUCAUUGUUUGUAAAAUGGUGGUUGGGUUUGUUUCGAAUUUCGAAAUGUACUCAUCAGUAUUAUUAGGAACACUGGUAUUUAGUGUUUAGUGUAAAUUAGUAGCAU